UAAUACGGAGGGUGCAAGCGUUAAUCGGAAUUACUGGGCGUAAAGCGCACGCAGGCGGUUUGUUAAGUCAGAUGUGAAAUCCCCGGGCUCAACCUGGGAACUGCAUUUGAAACUGGCAAGCUAGAGUCUCGUAGAGGGGGGUAGAAUUCCGGGGAGGUGUAGCGGUGAAAUGCGUAGAGAUCUGGAGGAAUACCGGUGGCGAAGGCGGCCCCCUGGACGAAGACUGACGCUCAGGUGCGAAAGCGUGGGGAGCAAACAGGAUUAGAUACCCUGGUAGUCCACGCUGUAAACGAUGUCGAUUUGGAGGUUGUGCCCUUGAGGCGUGGCUUCCGGAGCUAACGCGUUAAAUCGACCGCCUGGGGAGUACGGCCGCAAGGUUA
Molecule: ribosomal RNA, 380 nt
Filed under: uncultured Serratia sp.
Lineage: Bacteria; Pseudomonadati; Pseudomonadota; Gammaproteobacteria; Enterobacterales; Yersiniaceae
Description: bacterial SSU rRNA
Rfam family: Bacterial small subunit ribosomal RNA
Source: RNAcentral